AUGGCAGAAUAGUGCGAUGAACUUAAGAUUCAUACAUAAAGCUUUGCUUUUU
This 52-nucleotide transfer RNA is filed under the name Elateridae sp. GENSP01. RNAcentral describes it as "partial tRNA-Leu". Lineage: Eukaryota; Metazoa; Arthropoda; Insecta; Coleoptera; Elateridae. The record is from RNAcentral.